GUCCUAUUGAUAUUAUUUUAGGUCUAACCUGCCCACUGAUUUUUUAAUGGCCGCGGUAUUUUGACCGUGCAAAGGUAGCAUAAUCAUUAGUUUUUUAAUUAAAAGCUGGAAUGAAAGGUUGGAUGAAAAAUUAACUGUCUCUAUUUAAAUUAAUUGAAUUUUAUUUUUAAGUUAAAAAGCUUAAAUUUAUUUAAAAGACGAGAAGACCCUAUAGAGUUUAAUAAAAAUUAAAUAAUUUAUUUUUUAGAAUUUAAAAAUAAAUUUUUUACUUAUAUUUAAUUGGGGUGAUUAGAAAAUUAAAAUAACUUUUUUUUAUUUAAAACAAUAAUAAUUGAUUUAUUGAUCCAGAAAUUUUGAUUAUAAGAAUAAAUUACCUUAGGGAUAACAGCGUAAUUUUUUUUGAGAGUUCUAAUCGAUAAAAAAGUUUGCGACCUCGAUGUUGGAUUAAAGUUAAAUUUUGGAGUAGAAGCUAAAAAUUUAAGUCUGUUCGACUUUUAAAACUUUACA
RNAcentral lists this ribosomal RNA (507 nucleotides) under Phalacridae sp. BYU CO258. Its description in RNAcentral is "partial 16S ribosomal RNA". The stretch from base 381 to 507 matches the Rfam family "Bacterial large subunit ribosomal RNA", at positions 2473 to 2600 of the family's 2925-position model. The record is from RNAcentral. Lineage: Eukaryota; Metazoa; Arthropoda; Insecta; Coleoptera; Phalacridae.